Molecule: long non-coding RNA, 3537 nt
Organism: Pan troglodytes (chimpanzee)
Lineage: Eukaryota; Metazoa; Chordata; Mammalia; Primates; Hominidae
Exons: 5
Source: RefSeq, a predicted model, not a curated record
GAGAAUUCGAGCGUGGCGCGGGUGGGCCAGCAGUGUUUGGGGACCCGGAGCACUCUCCACAGCUGCUGGUCCGGGUGCUAAGUCCCUCACUGCCCAGCACCUGCAGCGCCGAUCGGCCGCUCUUGAGUGCGGGGCCUGCAGAGCCCACGCCCACCCGGAACUCGCGCUGGCCCGUGAGCGCCGUGCCGCAGCCCCGGUUCCCGCCCGCGCCUCUCCCUCCACACUUCCCCGCAAGCAGAGGGAGCCGGCUCCGGCCUCAGCUGGCCCAGAGAGGGGCUCCCUCAGUGCAGUGGCGAGCUGAAGGGCUCCUCAAGGGCGGCUGGAGUGGACGCUGAGGCUGAGGAGACGCCAAGAGCAAAUGAGGGCUGCUAGUACGUUGUCACCUCUCACUGGUAACUACAGUUGCUGUCAGUUUAACUGAUGCAAGAGAAGAUAAGGAAGACAAGAUCUCAACCACUUUCAGCAAAGCUUUGCGGAGAAUGCAACAUCCUUCAAGACACCAUGAAGCUCCAUGCAUCUGGUCAUCUUGCUUCUUUGGGGAAUAAAUUUAUUGUUCUCUGCUUCAGGGCAGGCACACUUGGCCAGUAAAGAAAAUCCCUCCAGCAGAGAAUUGCAGAUACUCACAGCAAGAAGCCUUUCUUGUGAACGGAGGAUGGAUGUGGAGCUGGUCCGAGCAGUCUGCCUACUGCAUCUGCUAUGACACCCAGCAAACUGGAAGGGAAAAGCAGUUACAAAGUUUCCAACCAGCACAAAUUCCAUAGUCAGGUUUUCCACAUGUGGGGAAAUCACAGGGGUCAGCACAUCCAACGUGCAAUGGACAAGCCUUGCACUGGGUAAACCACGUUCAUGGUCAUGGAAUCUCAUUUACCAGGUCCUGUGUAUUCUUCCUUUUGAUGAAGUUUGAGAAUGAAAGCUAUGAAAUUGGAUGAAAGCGUCUCAAACCACAACUAAGAAGCACUUCAGCAGACCAGAGGUCAAGUAACUUUACACUGCUUAACAUAAAUGUUGAUAUAAAAUAGGAUCUUAAUUUAACAGUAGACACAUAUAUUAAAAAGCUAUACAUAAAGCCAGAACUUCCUACAAGUACCUAAAAACCACUGAAAAUGCCUAAUAGUUUUUCUUUUUAUAUCUGAUAUUUAGAGGAAAAGCUGUGAGUUAUAUUUUGGCCACUUAAUCACUGAAUAUUUACCCACGGACCUUUCACUGAAUAUAUUAAACACUAAAAACCUGCUGUUGAGUGGCCACUAUUUGAACUUUCUUUCUUUGAAGACUUUUCCUUUCAGAAUUUAGCAUUAAAAGAACAUUCCAUUUCUGUUGUUGGCAAGCUAGGGAUAUUUUAGUAAAGUAAUUUUGAGCAUAAUGUCAUGAAUCUAAUUACCAGGUAUUAUUAAGUUACCAGUUCUUUUAAAAAGUAAAUGUUAAGGAGGUGUGAGGAGAAGGAAAAUAUUUUAUAAAAUAUUACAAUAAAGCACAGGAUUGACCAUUGACUAAUGGGUGUUUUAGUGUAUUGUUAGAAAUAUGGAAAGGGUAGUUAAGGAAAUUACCAACCAGCAGCAGAAACUGUGAACUCACCAAACCGAGAUUUCAAUGUAGAUUUCGUCUUUUUUAUGUGGCCAUAAAGACAGAAUUAGAGUUUGGACAGAAAGUAAUCCAAAGAUGUCCACAUCUGGUUGUUUACAUUCAUUUGUUGGGUUUACAUCUUAACGUGUUCAAAGGAAGACAUACAAGUGACCCAGAAACAUAUUUUAAAAAAGUACAACAUCACUAAUCAUCAGAGAAAUGCAAAUUAAAACCACAGUGAGAUAUCAUCUUACACUAGCCAGAAUGGCCAUGAUUAAAAAGCCAAAAAUCCAACAAGUGCUGAUGAGGAUACAGCAGAAAGGGAACACUUAUAUACUGUUGGUGGGAAUGUAAAUUAGUACAACCUCUAUGGAAAACAGUAUGGAGAUUUCUUAAAGAACUAAAAAUAGAACUACCAUUUGAUCCAGCAAUCCAACUACUAAGUAUCUACCCAAAGGAAAAUAAAUCAUUAUACUAAAAAGACAACUGCACUCAUAUGUUUAUCACAGUACUAUUCAUAAUAGUAAAGUUAUGUAAUCAACCUAAGUAUUUAUCAAUGGAUGAUUUGACAAAGAGAAUAUCAUAUUAUAUAUACAUAUAUAUUACUUCUCAGCCAUAGAAAAGAAUGAAAUUAUGUCUUUUGCUCAACAAGGAUUGAACUAGAGGCCAUUGUCCUAAGUGAAAUAACUCAGAAAUAGAAAGUCAAAUACUGCAUGUUCUCACUUGUAAGCUAAACAAUGGGUACACAUGAACAUACAGAGUGGAAUAAUAGACACUGGAGACUCUAAAGGUGGGAAGGUGGGAGGAGGAUAGGGUUGAAAUAUUACCUAUUGGGUACAAUGUUCACUAUUUGGAUGACAGGUACACUAAAAGCCCAGACUUCCCCACUAUGCAAUAUAUUUAUGUAGCAAAACUGAACUUGUAUCUUCUAAAUCUAAAUAAAUACAUACAUAAAACCCUAAAAAACACUAAGUAAACUAAGAAAAGAUGGAAAUUUCCUUGACCUGAUAAAGGAUAUUUAUGAAAUUAUUAUAGUUAAUAUAAUGCUUAGUGGUGAAAGACUAACCAUAUUCCCUUCAAGAUUGGACUCAGGGCAAAGAUGUACCCUCUUAAUGUUGUAAUAGAAGUCCUAGUCUAUGAAAUAGGGCAAGAAAAUGAAAUAAAGAAUAUAAUGUUUGUUGAUGUAGAAAAUUCUAAGGAACGUAUAAGCAACCACUAGAACUAAUAAGCAAAUUUAACAAUAUUACAGGAUACAUGGCCAAUACUCCACAAUCGUCCUUUUAUGUACUAGCAGCAAACAAUUGAAAAAUUUUUAAAAAUCCACUUACAAUAGCAAUUAGAAAUAUGUAAAAUACUUACAAAUAAAUUAAAUAAAACCAUACAAAAUUUCUACACUAAAAAUUACAAAACAUUGUUGAGAUAAAUUAAGGAAAACCCAAAUAAAUGAAGAUAUAUACUAUGUUCAUGGAUUAGAAGACCCAAAUGAACAUGAGAAAGAAAAAGACAAUUGAAAGAUUUACCCUAUCUGAAUUCAAAAUGUGCUAAAGUUAAUCAAGAUAGUAUAUGGUAUUGGCAUAAGGUCUAACAAAUAUCAAUGGAACAGAAUAGAGAGCUCGGAAACAGACUCACACUUACACACUCAAUUUUCAACAGAUGCACCAAAGUAAUUAUACUGGGGGCAAAGGAAAAUUUUUUCAACAAGAGGUGCUGAAACAAUUGGAUAUUUAAAUGGAAAAGUUUAUGCAAAAGGAAUCUGAAUGUUCAUCAAUGCUUUUGUCUGGUAUGGUAAUCUGAUGUGUUAUCCUUUCCUAUUUACAUAUUGGUAAUGUAGUAUCAGCUAAACAAAGCACUGUUUCCACUAAUAUAGUGAUAUUUCUACUGCAGGGGUACUCUUUUUCUUCUUAUAAAAAUAAUCCUUUUAAAUUAUAAAAGCAACAGAUUUUCACCAACAACAGCUCCAAAAAUAACAUAUCAAGU